CACACCAUGGGAUGGAGUUGUAUCAUUCUCUUCCUUUUGUCAGCAACUAAAGGUGUCCACUCCCAGGUACAGCUGCAUCAGUCAGGGCCUGAACUAGGAAAACCUGGGACCUCAGUGAAGUUGUCCUGCAAGACCUCAGGCUUCACCUUCACUAGCAACUAUGUUAGCUGGUUGAAGCAGAGGCCUGGACAGAGUCUGGAGUGGAUUGGAUUGAUUUAUCCUGGAAAUGGUAAUACUAAGUACAAUGAGAAGUUCCAGGGCAAGGCCACACUGACUGCAGACAAAUCCUCCAGCACAGCCUACAUGGAGCUCAGCAGCCUGACAUCAGAAGACUCUGCAGUCUAUUUCUGUGCAAAACACAGUGUUGCAACCACAUCCUGA
Molecule: non-coding RNA, 381 nt
Organism: Microtus ochrogaster (prairie vole)
Lineage: Eukaryota; Metazoa; Chordata; Mammalia; Rodentia; Cricetidae
Source: the annotation of a RefSeq genome assembly